Molecule: ribosomal RNA, 253 nt
Filed under: uncultured bacterium
Lineage: Bacteria
Description: partial 16S ribosomal RNA
Rfam family: Bacterial small subunit ribosomal RNA
Source: RNAcentral
UACGAAGGGGGCUAGCGUUGUUCGGAAUUACUGGGCGUAAAGCGCACGUAGGCGGAUAUUUAAGUCAGGGGUGAAAUCCCAGAGCUCAACUCUGGAACUGCCUUUGAUACUGGGUAUCUUGAGCAUGGAAGAGGUGAGUGGAAUUCCGAGUGUAGAGGUGAAAUUCGUAGAUAUUCGGAGGAACACCAGUGGCGAAGGCGGCUCACUGGUCCAUUACUGACGCUGAGGUGCGAAAGCGUGGGGAGCAAACAGG